AGGGGAAUAUUGCACAAUGGGCGCAAGCCUGAUGCAGCCAUGCCGCGUGUGUGAAGAAGGCCUUCGGGUUGUAAAGCACUGUCAGCGGGGAGGAAGGCGAUAAGGGUAAUAACCUUGUCGAUUGACGUUACACGCAGAAGAAGCACCGGCUAACUCGGUGCCAGCAGCCGCGGUAAUACGGAGGGUGCAAGCGUUAAUCGGAAUUACUGGGCGUAAAGCGCACGCAGGCGGUCUGUCAAGUCGGAUGUGAAAUUCCCGGGCUCAACCUGGGAACUGCAUUCGAACCUGGCAGGCUAGAGUCUUGUAGAGGGGGGUAGAAUUCUAGGCGUAGCGGUGAAAUGAGUAGAGAUCUGGAGGAAUACCGGUGGCGAAGGCGGCCCCCUGGACAAAGACUGACGCUCUGGUGCGAAAGAGUGGGGAGCAAACAGG
This 429-nucleotide ribosomal RNA is filed under the name Chloroflexota bacterium. RNAcentral's name for it is "Chloroflexi bacterium partial 16S ribosomal RNA". It matches the Rfam family "Bacterial small subunit ribosomal RNA", at positions 355 to 776 of the family's 1533-position model. The record is from RNAcentral. Lineage: Bacteria; Bacillati; Chloroflexota.